AGUGAACGCUGGCGGUAGGCCUAACACAUGCAAGUCGAACGGCAGCACAGUAAGAGCUUGCUCUUACGGGUGGCGAGUGGCGGACGGGUGAGGAAUACAUCGGAAUCUACUUUUUCGUGGGGGAUAACGUAGGGAAACUUACGCUAAUACCGCAUACGACCUACGGGUGAAAGCAGGGGAUCUUCGGACCUUGCGCGAUUGAAUGAGCCGAUGUCGGAUUAGCUAGUUGGCGGGGUAAAGGCCCACCAAGGCGACGAUCCGUAGCUGGUCUGAGAGGAUGAUCAGCCACCCUGGAACGGAGACACGGUCCAGACUCCUACGGGAGGCAGCAGUGGGGAAUAUUGGACAAUGGGCGCAAGCCUGAUCCAGCCAUACCGCGUGGGUGAAGAAGGCCUUCGGGUUGUAAAGCCCUUUUGUUGGGAAAGAAAAGCAGCAGGUUAAUACCCCGCUGUUCUGACGGUACCCAAAGAAUAAGCACCGGCUAACUUCGUG
RNAcentral lists this ribosomal RNA (492 nucleotides) under uncultured bacterium. Its description in RNAcentral is "partial 16S ribosomal RNA". It matches the Rfam family "Bacterial small subunit ribosomal RNA", at positions 29 to 507 of the family's 1533-position model. The record is from RNAcentral.